This 898-nucleotide ribosomal RNA is filed under the name Stephanoprora sp. 1 SB-2020. RNAcentral describes it as "partial large subunit ribosomal RNA". It matches the Rfam family "Eukaryotic large subunit ribosomal RNA", at positions 91 to 667 of the family's 3401-position model. The record is from RNAcentral. Lineage: Eukaryota; Metazoa; Platyhelminthes; Trematoda; Plagiorchiida; Echinochasmidae.
GAGUGAACAGGGAAAAGCCCAGCACCGAAGCCUGUGGCCGUUUGGUCUCUAGGCAAUGUGGUGUUCAGGUCAGCUCGCAGAGAUACUGCUCCACCCUAAGUCCUGUAAUGAGUAAGGUUACUGGAGCGGCCCACAGAGGGUGAAAGGCCCGUGGGGGUGGAGAUGCAGAUGAGUCAGUGUCUCUAUGAGUGGACCUUGGAGUCGGGUUGUUUGUGAAUGCAGCCCAAAGUGGGUGGUAAACUCCAUCCAAGGCUAAAUACUGGCACGAGUCCGAUAGCGAACAAGUACCGUGAGGGAAAGUUGAAAAGUACUUUGAAGAGAGAGUAAACAGUGCGUGAAACCGCUCAAAGGUAAACGGGUGGAGUUGAACUGCAAGCUCCGGGAAUUCAACUGGUGAGUGUGAUGUGAGCUUGGCACAUAGUUGUACAUCUGGGUCUGCUUAGCUGCAGGUCUCCGCCUCUGGUGGGGAUGCGCGAAUCACUUAUCAUGUGUUGUGCGCCCGGGCUGUGUCGAACUGGCUCGCCAGUGCACUUUCUCGGAGUAGUCACCACGACCGGCGUUGCUGCCUUGCUGUUGCGGUUAAACCGGCCUUGUAGGGUCCCUGUGGCCUUGCUUGGUCGGGAUGGCAGGUAGCCCGUUGUGUACUUCUGUGCGCCUCGGGUGUAAUAGCUGACUGCAUCGGUUUUGUGCGGUACGUCGGAGACGGCGGCUUGUUGUGCGUGCGUGCGUACCUUGUGCGCUGGCGGCGCUGGGUCCGGUUGCCAUGUUGCUUGUGAAUGCAGGCCUGGUGAUGGCUCGGUGUUGUUCGGUGUGCGGAUGCGUGUGUGGCACUUUAAAGGGCCAAUAGUCUGUGGUGUAGUGGUAGACUAUCCACCUGACCCGUCUUGAAACACGGACC